AGUGAACGCUGGCGGUAUGCCUAACACAUGCAAGUCGAACGGCAGCACAGUAAGAUUUUGCCUUUACGGGUGGCGACUGGCGGACGGGUGAGGAGUACAUAGGAAACCUCUUUUUCGUGGGGGAUAUCGGAAGGACACUUCCGAUAGUACCUAAUAUGUUCUACGGGUGAAUGCAGGGGUGAAUCGCACUUUUCGUGUUUCUUUGAGCCGAGGUCGGAUUAGCUAGUUGGCGGGGUAAAGGCACACCAAGGCGACGAUCCGUAGCUGAUCUGAGAGGAUGAUCGGCCACACUGGAACUGAGACACGGUCCAGACUCCUACGGGAGGCAGCAGUAGGGAAUAUUGGGCAAUGGGCGCAAGCCUGAUCGAGCCAUACCGCGUGGGUGAAGAAGGCCUUCGGGUUGUAAAGCCCUGUUAUUAGGAAAGAAAAGCAGCAGAAGAAAACCCGGCUGUUCUGACGGUACCCAAUGAAUAAGCACCGGCUAACUUCGUG
This 492-nucleotide ribosomal RNA is filed under the name uncultured bacterium. RNAcentral's name for it is "partial 16S ribosomal RNA". It matches the Rfam family "Bacterial small subunit ribosomal RNA", at positions 29 to 507 of the family's 1533-position model. The record is from RNAcentral.